RNAcentral lists this long non-coding RNA (1678 nucleotides) under Androctonus crassicauda. The record is from RNAcentral. Lineage: Eukaryota; Metazoa; Arthropoda; Arachnida; Scorpiones; Buthidae.
AGUUAUCGAUGCGGGAACUACUCUCGAGAGUGGUGCGUAGCUAUCUCCGACGGUUUGUGGUAGAAUCGAGUCUGAAUAUACAUAAAAACCGUAUACUCCACCUGUCAGAUCAGGGUAGUGUUUUCCCACGGCCAAACCAUAGUAACUUCCCGGCUGGAAUCCUAACAUUUCGCCAAUAACUACGCGGUGGUCCGGGAAAUGUAUAUACGCGUGCGUAUAUGUUACGAUAAAAGUGAUUAAUGUGGCUGAUGGUGCGUAAUCACCCACAAUAAUCGUCUCGGUAAGUUUGACAAGUUUCUGGCUUUUACCAACGAUUAUAAAUUGGUAAGUUUGAUAAAUGUGCUCGAAUACAUUACAUUACUUUUCCAGCAUUUCCAAAAUGUAGUCGAUGAUAAAUUGUUGUUGUUUUAGUCACUAAUUUAAUUAGAGGGUUACAGUUAUUUUAGUUCGGUAACAGCCUCCGGUCGACUUUUAACUCGGCCGAUCUCUAACCGUUUGUUCGUAGUCGUCUUCCCGGCCAAAUCCGCCAUUCGACCCAGACGCUUUCCGCGCUCUCGAUGUACGCUUCCCUGUUUACAGGCAAAUCGGUUUUUGUGAAAGUUGUAUGGACGUUAUCCCGACACGGGAAUCAUCUUCGCUGGUGACGCGUCAGUUGGUAGGCCAUUAAUUCGUAUUUCCUCGUUUCUCCCAUUCGCCUUUUAUUCGAAUAGAGUAUCGGAUGGCCAGACGCGAAAUCCGAACCACCAAAGGACUACGAACACUCGACCCAUAGCGGAAAAUGCGUCGUUUUCUUUCGAAAUUUUUUAUUUUCUGGUUUUACCGCCUUAGUUUUUUUAAACACAAAGACCCGAUGUGUAGUCGGUGACCAGGCACCCUUAGAAGGUAGAGCCGGAGUGGCCAAACUCGGUUUACCGGUGCCGAUACCUAUAGAAACGAUUGUCGAAGUUGGUGGCGUCGGCCAAUACCCAGGCCACUGCUCGUACCUAUCGAUCCGAUUCGGUUACGUUACCCGUACCACCGAGAAAAUUUGACGGAACACUGGCCCAAUAUUUUAAAACAAAGUUACAACCGAAGGCGAAUGUAAUGGCUCGGGUUUUCUCUGGCCAAGAUAUCCCAACGACAACAUUACCAGACGAUAAAACUGUUGUUAUUUUCUACUACUCGACACCUUCAGUCGCCGAGAUUGGCAGUGGCCCUGGCAAAUUACCGUUAACUAUCUCGGUUAAAGAUGUCGGUCGAUUUUCUUUUUUAGAUUCAUUCGUUUUCCUCCGCCAAAACGAACAACAACCGUCGGCCUAGAUACCCACUCGGGAGCUCGGUACUCCCGAACAGCGCCAUUAUUUUGGUGGCAAAAUUUCCCGAGAAGCGAUGGAUAGAUGGGCGCUAACCGGAGCCAAAGUGGGAGUAGUUACCGAUAGCGCGUCGGGCUUAAAAACAUUUAGCUCGUUAAAUUGUAAUCGCUUUCCGACCGUAACAGGCGUUUAAACCAAUAGCUAAAACGUCUGGCGGGCCGUCGGUUUGAGACCACCGUCCGAUAUUUUUAUCGGGCACCGUAUUCCACCACCAUAUAACUGGCUCGUGUUUGAUAGACUAUAACUGCGCUUUUGCUUUUCUGUAUUGGAGACAGAAAAUCCGAGUGGUAGUUAAAUUUCUACUAGCUUAUUAAACGCUUUACCAC